AUUCAGUCAGCAACAGA
This 17-nucleotide unclassified non-coding RNA is filed under the name Mus musculus (house mouse). RNAcentral describes it as "oocyte_clustered_small_RNA2235". The record is from RNAcentral. Lineage: Eukaryota; Metazoa; Chordata; Mammalia; Rodentia; Muridae.